UGACGCAGAGCACAUUACAUCCAUCCCAC
RNAcentral lists this non-coding RNA (29 nucleotides) under Bombyx mori (domestic silkworm). The record is from RNAcentral. Lineage: Eukaryota; Metazoa; Arthropoda; Insecta; Lepidoptera; Bombycidae.